UAUUUCUUCUGGAAAGUGAUCUUAAUCCUCUGAAAAGUGAAAAGAUUUUGUUAUGUGUGUUUUCCCAGAAGGAAUGGGUGAUCUGCAGAGUAUUCAAGAAGACUUCCGGCGGGCACAAGAUCCAUAUUUCUGGGCUGACCAAGGGGGAGAGGCUGCCCGCGUUAAUGGAAGUAUCUCAGAGAACGGCAACUUCCGGCGAGACGGUGCCACACGUGACCUGCUUCUCCGACUCCAAGGAGGACAAAAACCCAUGUGAUGUUAGUCUGGUACAACAGAACCUAAGCAUUCCAUGUAACUGCCAUCAAGGUUUUACAUUUGAUGAAAUAUUGGUCCAUCAUAUGGCAAGAUCCGUUUUUUUUUUUUUUUUUUUUUUCAAUAGUUUCCUGCAGUACUUCUUAAGGACUUAAUUUAUGCUAUAUAAAAUAUGGAUUUCAUAUUAUGAGCACACAUGACUGUUUGAUGCUCUUUCUUGGAGAGGUGGGCAGGGGAGAGAAUAAUGAAGAGGAUCAAAAUAUUAGCAAUUUGUUUCAUUCAAUAUCCUGAAUCUGUAGUCUUGGAUGCUUCUAUUUCUUUGGAGGAUUUCAAGUGUCAUUGUAUAAUGUUUAUAUGAAGUGGAUAAAUUUCUUGGAUUUUGGUUCUUUUUGUUUGUGAUUGCUGAGUUUUGCACUUGUGGUUUUCAAAUCUUCAGGUGACUACUCCAUUGCUUUUUAAGCUAAUACCUGCUGUGGUGCACCUUGGGGUGCUGCUUAGGUGGUUUUCACCUGACAACCAAACUGAGUUGGGGUUAAAAGGAGAAACCCUCAGAUCAGAGAGUGUUAAGCAAAGGAUUGCCUUGAUAUCCAAGGAUCUCUUGAUUCACUAGGGGUAAACUAGUGAAGCUAGAUGCCACAUAUGCCCGGGGACAACAAAAAGGCUACAUUCCCAGCUCAAUUUUUAGUAUAUGCACUUGAGAUUCCUGCUCAAUUCAACGAAGCUUGCUUUACGUUGUGCUAUAUACAUCAGCUUAGACUUUUAGAGAGAAGGGAGUGGCAACAACCUCUGAAAAUGGGAAACCAGAAUUGGAGGUUUUCUAACUCUCACAGAACCACUAACAAGAUGAAGCAUUCAUUCGCAUUUAACCAAGGUAAUUUUGAUUUUUCUUUUUCCUCUUGUCAUUCUUUUUCAUUUUUUGCUAGUGUAAAAUAGUUUUUGGUUUGUGAUGUGUAGUGAAUUUUGUGCAACCGCAUUUGGUUAUGUAUGUUUGUUCUGUAGAUUCGAGAAUGUAACAAAAAAAAAAAAAAAACAUUUUCUAGCCUGUUAUUCCAUGUCAAUUGUAUAGAAGUGCCAUUUCUCAGUACUUUCUAUUCUUGAAAAUUUGCCCAAGUUUUGGGAUGGUAA
RNA transcript from Ipomoea nil (Japanese morning glory), 1377 nucleotides. It is a transcript of the gene named K(+) efflux antiporter 4-like, with no coding region annotated. Lineage: Eukaryota; Viridiplantae; Streptophyta; Magnoliopsida; Solanales; Convolvulaceae. The record is from RefSeq and is a predicted model, not a curated record. The transcript is spliced from 3 exons.